Molecule: ribosomal RNA, 460 nt
Filed under: uncultured bacterium
Lineage: Bacteria
Description: partial 16S ribosomal RNA
Rfam family: Bacterial small subunit ribosomal RNA
Source: RNAcentral
CCUACGGGAGGCAGCAGUGAGGAAUAUUGGUCAAUGGACGAGAGUCUGAACCAGCCAAGUCGCGUGAAGGAUGACUGCCCUAUGGGUUGUAAACUUCUUUUAUAUGGGAAUAAAACGUUCCACGUGUGGGAUUUUGUAUGUACCAUAUGAAUAAGGAUCGGCUAACUCCGUGCCAGCAGCCGCGGUAAUACGGAGGAUCCGAGCGUUAUCCGGAUUUAUUGGGUUUAAAGGGUGCGUAGGUGGAUUGUUAAGUCAGUGGUGAAAGUUUGGGGCUCAACCGCAAAAUGGCCGUUGAAACUGGUAGUCUUGAGUGCAGUAGAGGUGGGCGGAAUGCGUGGUGUAGCGGUGAAAUGCUGAGAUAUCACGAAGAACUCCGAUUGCGAAGGCAGCUCACCGGACUGCAACUGACACUGAGGCUCGAAAGUGUGGGUAUCAAACAGGAUUAGAUACCCCAGUAGUC